Molecule: ribosomal RNA, 498 nt
Filed under: uncultured bacterium
Lineage: Bacteria
Description: partial 16S ribosomal RNA
Rfam family: Bacterial small subunit ribosomal RNA
Source: RNAcentral
AUUGAACGCUGGCGGCAUGCCUUACACAUGCAAGUCGAACGGUAACGCGGGGCAACCUGGCGACGAGUGGCGAACGGGUGAGUAAAGCAUCGGAACGUGCCCAGUAGUGGGGGAUAGCCCGGCGAAAGCCGGAUUAAUACCGCAUACGACCUAUGGGUGAAAGGGGGGGAUCGCAAGACCUCUCGCUAUUGGAGCGGCCGAUGUCAGAUUAGGUAGUUGGUGGGGUAAAGGCCUACCAAGCCGACGAUCUGUAGCUGGUCUGAGAGGACGACCAGCCACACUGGGACUGAGACACGGCCCAGACUCCUACGGGAGGCAGCAGUGGGGAAUUUUGGACAAUGGGCGCAAGCCUGAUCCAGCCAUGCCGCGUGCGGGAAGAAGGCCUUCGGGUUGUAAACCGCUUUUGUCAGGGAAGAAAUCCUUUGGGUUAAUACCUCGGGGGGAUGACGGUACCUGAAGAAUAAGCACCGGCUAACUACGUGCCAGCAGCCGCGGUAA